CUGGGAUUGUGUGUGUAUAGCAUCAUACCAGGGUUAGACUGCCCCUGUAUUUGAGAGCGGCAUUGCAGGCUGCCCUUCCAGGGCCAGAGGAAACCCAACCAAGGAGGGAAACGGUGGCAAGUGGCCACCGUGAGGCAGAGCAGCAAGCCCUUCUGGUGUUUGGCAGUGAGGAGACAGCGCUAUGGGCCCAGCUGGGGGAACAGACAUCCCCUGGGAAGUGGAAACUGCGUGAGAUGGCGCCCAUGGAUCUGCGUUUUAAUGUAGAGGAGUGCGUAGCAGGGCCAGGGAACGCUCAGGCCUCCGAGGCAGAAGCAGCAAGGAGGGUUGAGAGUAAGAACGCUUGAGGAGCCAGGCUGUGUGAAGAAAUCUGGACUAGAUCCCAAGAGCCGUGGGAGCCACUGAAGCUGUGGAUGAGCAUGGAAGGCAAGCAAGCUUCCCUGCAGACUGAAGACAUUCCGCUGGAAGGACACUGAGCUGAUGUGCCUUGCAAUCUGAUUGGUUCAAAACAUCAAAAGAACAAGCAAUCCUCCAGCGUUACAUAAUCGAAUCUUCAUGGCUCGCUGGUUUGUUCUGUCCUCCUGAGGAAUCGGCAGAUGGUGCCAGUGCAGAGACCCGCACACACGCCUCGCCCGCCUCUUGAGAGUGGCUCAGUGUCUGCCUCUCUGCCGUGGGGUCCCUCGCCGGGCGAUUGUUUCUUUGGAUCAGCUUGCACUUUCUCGUUCCUUAGGCACUGCUGGCUUCUUGCCUUCGGCAACCAUUUCAGGAUUAAUUAAAAAUGCUGAAAGCCCAUAAAAAUCUAGAGAAUGGAUAGUGACGUUGAAAGGGCAGGGAAUAAUAUGCUGGAUUCCUACCCACCCCCCACCCCCCAACCAAAGCCCUCCUCUAUUUUAGCCAGAGACUUCUUCAUUCGGCCUGGUCCCUGCGUAGUCUGGGUUGUUAAAUUAAAAGGAGGGUAGGAAAGGGGCCACCUGAGCUCAGAGGGCAGAGAGACAUGCCCAGGGACAUCACAUAAGCGCCUUCCGAAGCAGGUCACGUUCUUGUAGAAAUGCUUGUUCCCAAAUAGGGCGGUUACUUGGGAUCCAACCUUACACCAGUGAUGUCACCUUUGCUUAGGAAAGAUUAUCUCAGGACUCUGUAAGGUAAGAGGCUCCCAGCUAGGCCCUAAGACGACCCUGGUGUUUAGCAGUUCUUGAGAAGGCACUGCGGUCCAUGCCAGCUCUGAGAAGCAAGGGCGCCCGCUUUGCGCAAGUUUGAAUACGGAAUGCUUCCCGGCCCAGAGGUAGACACACCUUUGAGUGACACUUCAGUCCUUUGAGGGGCUCCGGUUCUAUGAAUUUGUAAGCCGAUCUGCUUUUCGGUGCAGCUCUGUGGGCUUCUUUGUCACCGACCCCACUUGGUUUCCAACCAUGCAGAACCAGUGGGUCGGGCGGCUUGGUGCAGAGCCAGGCGCCGCUCCAAACGCCACAGAUGUAACCGCCCGUUCGCAGACCGCACUGUUGGCUGACUCUGAUUUUGGAUGGAACCUCCAGGCAAUUAAAACAUAGAACCCUCCUGCCUGUGACAAAAACAUGGCCCGUCCUUGAAGGUCUUCUGUGUUCUACACUUGCAGGUCACUCAGGGUCCUGGUGUGUAUACAGAGGAAAUGACCGGGGAAGGAAAACAGAUACGGAGGAUGGUCUUUUGGAUUUGAUCCUGUACUGAAUCCAAGCACAGGAGUCUAUUUUUCUUUUCUUUUCCUUUAGAGACAGGCUUUCAGGUAUCCCAGGCUGGCCUGGAACUUGUUGUAUAGUCCAGGAUGGCCCUGAACCCCGGAUCAUGCUGCCUCUAACGGAUCACGCAUAUGCCACCACACCCAGAUUUAUCUAUUCUGGGGCUGAAGCCAAGGGCUUGCAUGCCAGGCAAUCACUCUACCUACUGAGCUACCUCUCAACCCCUAGGUCUAAUUACAAUUUCCUGUAAUUUUUUUCUUCUCUUUUGAGACGGGGGUCUCUCUUGUAGCUCAGGCUGGCUUUGAACUUGUAACACAGCCAAGGAUGACCUUGGACUUGUGAUCCUCCUGUCUCCACCUCUCAGAUGCUGGCAUCACAGCGUGCGUGCGCUACCGUUCCCACAUCGACUUUGAUUCUUUUCAUUUGUUACUCUCAAACUAAGCGAGAGCCGAUGAGAUAGCUGAGAGGGUGAGUAAACUAACUAACUGAGAGGGUGAGUAAACAACUCGUCGGCCGCCAAGCUAAACAACCCGAGUCUGAUUCCCAAGACUGACCCUCGGAAGCUGACCUCUGACCUUUACACACAUUGCCAUGGCUCCUGCUCAUGUACACACAUAUGCACUAG
Mesocricetus auratus (golden hamster) is the source of this 2334-nucleotide long non-coding RNA. RefSeq lists it as uncharacterized. The transcript is spliced from 3 exons. The record is from RefSeq and is a predicted model, not a curated record. Lineage: Eukaryota; Metazoa; Chordata; Mammalia; Rodentia; Cricetidae.